Molecule: ribosomal RNA, 447 nt
Filed under: uncultured bacterium
Lineage: Bacteria
Description: partial 16S ribosomal RNA
Rfam family: Bacterial small subunit ribosomal RNA
Source: RNAcentral
AAUGAACGCUGGCGGCAGGCCUAACACAUGCAAGUCGAACGGAUCCUUCGGGAUUAGUGGCGGACGGGUGAGUAACGCGUGGGAACAUACCCUUUGGUACGGAGUAGCCUCGGGAAACUGGGAGUAAUACCGUAUGUGGUCGAGAGACGAAAGAUUUAUCGCCAAAGGAUUGGCCCGCGUUGGAUUAGGUAGUUGGUGGGGUAUGGCCUACCAAGCCGACGAUCCAUAGCUGGUUUGAGAGGAUGAUCAGCCACACUGGGACUGAGACACGGCCCAGACUCCUACGGGAGGCGGCAGUGGGGAAUCUUAGACAAUGGGGGAAACCCUGAUCUAGCCAUGCCGCGUGAUCGAUGAAGGCCUUAGGGCUGUAAAGAUCUUUCAGGUGGGAAGAUAAUGACUGUACCACCAGAAGAAGCCCCGGCUAACUCCGUGCCAGCCGCCGCGUAA